CUACGGGGCGCAGCAGUGGGGAAUAUUGGACAAUGGGGGCAACCCUGAUCCAGCCAUGCCGCGUGUGUGAAGAAGGCCUUAGGGUUGUAAAGCACUUUCAGUGGUGAGGAAGGCUGAGUAGUUAAUACCUGCUUAGUUUGACGUUAGCCACAGAAGAAGCACCGGCUAACUCUGUGCCAGCAGCCGCGGUAAUACGGAGGGUGCGAGCGUUAAUCGGAAUUACUGGGCGUAAAGCGCGCGUAGGUGGUUUGUUAAGUCGGAUGUGAAAUCCCCGGGCUCAACCUGGGAACUGCACCCGAUAGUGGCAGGCUAGAGUACGAUAGAGGGGUGUGGAAUUUCCGGUGUAGCGGUGAAAUGCGUAGAUAUAGGAAGGAACAUCAGUGGCGAAGGCGACACCCUGGAUUGAUACUGACACUGAGGUGCGAAAGCGUGGGGAGCAAACAGGAUUAGAUACCCGUGUAGUC
Molecule: ribosomal RNA, 464 nt
Filed under: uncultured bacterium
Lineage: Bacteria
Description: partial 16S ribosomal RNA
Rfam family: Bacterial small subunit ribosomal RNA
Source: RNAcentral